UCCCUGGUGGCUCAGACGUUAAAGCGUCUGCCUGCAAUGCAGGAGACCCUGGUUCGAUUCCUGGGUUGGAAA
RNAcentral lists this transfer RNA (72 nucleotides) under Bos taurus (domestic cattle). It matches the Rfam family "tRNA". From Rfam's summary of the family: Transfer RNA (tRNA) molecules are approximately 80 nucleotides in length. Their secondary structure includes four short double-helical elements and three loops (D, anti-codon, and T loops). The record is from Rfam by way of RNAcentral. Lineage: Eukaryota; Metazoa; Chordata; Mammalia; Artiodactyla; Bovidae. RNAcentral also lists the same sequence under 1 other name.